RNAcentral lists this transfer RNA (66 nucleotides) under Crataraea suturalis. RNAcentral describes it as "tRNA-Arg". The record is from RNAcentral. Lineage: Eukaryota; Metazoa; Arthropoda; Insecta; Coleoptera; Staphylinidae.
AAAUAAGAAACAAUAUUUGUGUUUAGUUUCGACCUAAAAAAUUGGUAUAAAAAUUACCCUUAUUUU